Antechinus flavipes (yellow-footed antechinus) is the source of this 269-nucleotide long non-coding RNA. RefSeq lists it as uncharacterized. The transcript has 2 exons. NCBI's taxonomy places the organism in Eukaryota, Metazoa, Chordata, Mammalia, Dasyuromorphia, Dasyuridae. The record is from RefSeq and is a predicted model, not a curated record.
GGGCACCACAAGCUCGGAUAUAUCGCUUUAGCCGAACUACUGCAGGAUGGUCCUCUCCUCUUCGAGAGCCCUGAAAUAAAGAGGUUGGAAGGAUACUCCAAAUCACCAAAGAAAAAUCUAAUUCAAAAAAUAUGGGAGUAACCAGUAUUGAAGGAGUGAUGAAAAGAGACAUUAUAUAUCGUUGCUGGAGCUGGAAAUUGGUCUAACCAUUCUGAAACUCAAUUCUGAAUUGUACUAAAAAAAAAUUGAUUAAAAUAUCCAUCCCCAGA